AGGGAAUCUUCCACGAAUGGACGCAAGUCUGAUGGAGCAACGCCGCGUGAGUGAAGAAGGCUUUCGGGUCGUAAAACUCUGUUAUUGAAGAAGAACGUGUGUGACAGUAACUGGUCAUGCAGUGACGGUAUUCAAUCAGAAAGUCACGGCUAACUACGUGCCAGCAGCCGCGGUAAUACGUAGGUGGCAAGCGUUGUCCGGAUUUAUUGGGCGUAAAGCGAGUGCAGGCGGUCUUUUAAGUCUGAUGUGAAAGCCUUCGGCUUAACCGAAGAAGGGCAUCGGAAACUGGGAGACUUGAGUGCAGAAGAGGAGAGUGGAACUCCAUGUGUAGCGGUGAAAUGCGUAGAUAUAUGGAAGAACACCAGUGGCGAAGGCGGCUCUCUGGUCUGUAACUGACGCUGAGGCUCGAAAGCGUGGGUAGCAAACAGGAUUAGAUACCC
This 440-nucleotide ribosomal RNA is filed under the name uncultured bacterium. RNAcentral describes it as "partial 16S ribosomal RNA". It matches the Rfam family "Bacterial small subunit ribosomal RNA", at positions 356 to 787 of the family's 1533-position model. The record is from RNAcentral.